GCAACACACUGGUUUGGCAUCUAGCGGGUUGUGCUUGCAGAACAGCAGGCUGGCUCCGUGCACCUGCUCAGUGGGGCUGGGCUUUAGCAACCUGCAUUGAGGCUGCUCUUCUUAACUUUUCUCUAACUUGCUUCAUGAAAGUUAAUUCUGCUGGGACCCCACGAGGCAGCGGAGAGCCCACUCUGCCCAUGAUUGGUGCCCUGGGCUGGCACGCAGAGUUUAAUGGAGGAGCCCGGGAGAGAGGGAUGCCUGAGAACCAGGGAUGUGGGCUGGAGCAGUGCCACCUCCUCUAACUCACCCGCAAGCCCAGCCAACCGGCUAAACCUUCCCCACAGAGCCUCAGUCUCCUUAUCUGUAAAAUGGAUUACCUGGCACUUGUCCAGUCUUUCUGCAGUCAACAUCGCCCAGAUUCCAUGCAGAACCCUUUGCAGACUCCUGAGGAGGUACAGACAAGGAGUGUCCCUGUCCUCAUGGUGCUACAUGAAAAGGGAUCAGGACAGCAUAGUGUGUCCUCUGUCUUGAGAAGUUCGCAUCCAGCUCUGCCAUGGACCAGCCAUGCUCAUGGAUUGCCUCUCAUUUUGCUACGGACAGGAGACAGGAAAAUACUGGGUAGAAGAGGGCGGUUCCCGACAAAGGCCCCAACCUCAAGCCUGAAGACCCACGACCCUAAAUGAGGACAGCCAUUUCUGAUUUUGUGCCCAAAAAUUUGCCUUUUGGCCUGCCACACCCAACAUCUUGCCCCUAUAUAAACCCGAGACCUUAGCGGGCACACACACAAUCAGCCAAAUGUUGGGAUUAGCAGACCAGUGGACCAGCGGACCAGCAGACCAGUUAACGGUGGAACA
RNAcentral lists this long non-coding RNA (845 nucleotides) under Homo sapiens (human). Its description in RNAcentral is "novel transcript". The record is from RNAcentral. Lineage: Eukaryota; Metazoa; Chordata; Mammalia; Primates; Hominidae.